RNAcentral lists this ribosomal RNA (465 nucleotides) under uncultured bacterium. RNAcentral's name for it is "partial 16S ribosomal RNA". It matches the Rfam family "Bacterial small subunit ribosomal RNA", at positions 338 to 795 of the family's 1533-position model. The record is from RNAcentral.
CCUACGUGAUGCAGCAGUGGGGAAUAUUGCGCAAUGGGCGAAAGCCUGACGCAGCGACGCCGCGUGAGGGAUGAAGGUCUUCGGAUCGUAAACCUCUGUCAGCAGGGAAGAACGGUCACUGUGCUAAUCAGCAGUGAAUUGACGGUACCUGCAAAGGAAGCACCGGCUAACUCCGUGCCAGCAGCCGCGGUAAUACGGAGGGUGCGAGCGUUAAUCGGAAUUACUGGGCGUAAAGCGCUCGUAGGCGGUAUGUCAAGUCAAGGGUGAAAUCCCCGCGCUCAACGUGGGAACUGCCUUUGAAACUGGCAAACUGGAGUGUGUGAGAGGAUAGUGGAAUUCCAGGUGUAGGAGUGAAAUCCGUAGAUAUCUGGAGGAACAUCAGUGGCGAAGGCGACUAUCUGGCACAUAACUGACGCUGAGGAGCGAAAGCGUGGGUAGCAAACAGGAUUAGAUACCCCAGUAGUC